CGCGAAGAACCUUACCAGGUCUUGACAUCUAGUGCCAUUUGUAGAGAUACAAGGUUCCCUUCGGGGACGCUAAGACAGGUGGUGCAUGGCUGUCGUCAGCUCGUGUCGUGAGAUGUUGGGUUAAGUCCCGCAACGAGCGCAACCCUUGUUAUUAGUUGCCAGCAUUAAGUUGGGCACUCUAAUGAGACUGCCGGUGACAAACCGGAGGAAGGUGGGGAUGACGUCAAGUCAUCAUGCCCCUUAUGACCUGGGCUACACACGUGCUACAAUGGGCAGUACAACGAGAAGCGAGCCUGUGAAGGCAAGCGAAUCUCUGAAAGCUGUUCUCAGUUCGGACUGCAGUCUGCAACUCGACUGCACGAAGCUGGAAUCGCUAGUAAUCGCGGAUCAGCACGCCGCGGUGAAUACGUUCCCGGGUCUUGUACACACC
RNAcentral lists this ribosomal RNA (430 nucleotides) under uncultured bacterium. Its description in RNAcentral is "bacterial SSU rRNA". It matches the Rfam family "Bacterial small subunit ribosomal RNA", at positions 960 to 1391 of the family's 1533-position model. The record is from RNAcentral.